CCUAAUAUCUAAAGUGACCGUUUAGGUUUUUGUGCGUUCUUUCUCUCCUCACAUAACCUCACAUAACCUUAUUAUGGAUACAACAGUCAAAGAUUUAUUAAAAAAGUGGGAGUUUCCUGAUCUCAUACAACUGUUUGAGGGUUGACAAUGUUAAAAUAAUUGUUGAUAAGGAAAAGGGACUUGUUCAGUCAGAUGAAGAGGAACAUAUCAAGCAGAAAGAAAACAAACAUAUGGAAAUUGAAGUGUGCGAAAUUGAUGAUUUUCAGCUUGCCAAUGCUGUUCGUCAUCUGAGUUUUGCUGAUUUUGAACGUGAUAUUGAACGUCAAGGAAAGGAGCAGCUGCGUUAAAUUUGACUCUGCAACCAUUUAUUAUUUUCGUAGGAUGUGACGCUAGCUCAGUUAACGUAUACUACGUUUGCAUCGAUAAAACAUUAUACAAAAUUGAAAGUGCUCUUAAAGCUGUCGACGUAUGCUACAAGUGCUUUUUUGUUUGCAUGCGUGCUAUUGCGUGCUAUCCUAAAGAAUCUCAACAAAUAUGGCUUCUGAUACAAAAAUUAUAUAAUAUAAUAUGACAACUGAGCACGAUGUAUGCAAUAGCAAAGUUACACAUCUAUCAAAAUGACUUUAAGGAAGAUGUAAAGAGAUUAUUUCUUUAUUAUUUUUUAAAAAUAUUUUUAUUUUACGAUAAUGAUUGAUUGAAACAGCCGACUAAAACAGCCGACUAUAAAAUUACUUUUAUAUAUAGAUACGUUUUCCUUCGC
Molecule: long non-coding RNA, 760 nt
Organism: Temnothorax curvispinosus
Lineage: Eukaryota; Metazoa; Arthropoda; Insecta; Hymenoptera; Formicidae
Exons: 3
Source: RefSeq, a predicted model, not a curated record